GUCGAGCGGGAUUUCCCUUCGGGGAUUGAGAGCGGCGCACGGGUGAGUAACGCGUAUGCAACCUGCCCUUUACAGGGGAAUAGCCCGGAGAAAUCCGGAUUAAUGCCCCAUAGUACCAUAAAGCCGCAUGGUUUUUUGGUUAAAGCUCCGGCGGUAAAGGAUGGGCAUGCGUGACAUUAGCUAGUUGGGGGGUAACGGCCCACCAAGGCUACGAUGUCUAGGGGUUCUGAGAGGAUGAUCCCCCACACUGGUACUGAGACACGGACCAGACUCCUACGGGAGGCAGCAGUGAGGAAUAUUGGUCAAUGGGCGCAAGCCUGAACCAGCCAUCCCGCGUGAAGGACGACGGCCCUAUGGGUUGUAAACUUCUUUUGUACGGGAAGCACGUGCGCUAUGUAUAGCGUAUUGACGGUACCGUACGAAUAAGCAUCGGCUAACUCCGUGCCAGCAGCCGCGGUAAUACGGAGGAUGCGAGCGUUAUCCGGAUUCAUUGGGUUUAAAGGGUGCGUAGGCGGCCCGGUAAGUCAGCGGUGAAAGUUUGCGGCUCAACCGUAAAAUUGCCGUUGAUACUGUCGGGCUUGAGUUCAGAUGAAGUGGGCGGAAUGAGUAGUGUAGCGGUGAAAUGCUUAGAUAUUACUCAGAACACCGAUUGCGAAGGCAGCCCACUAAACUGCGACUGACGCUGAUGCACGAAAGCGUGGGGAUCGAACAGGAUUAGAUACCCUGGUAGUCCACGCCGUAAACGAUGUUCACUCGCUGUUUGCGAUAUAUUGCAAGCGGCCAAGCGAAAGCAUUAAGUGAACCACCUGGGGAGUACGAUCGCAAGGUUGAAACUCAAAGGAAUUGACGGGGGCCCGCACAAGCGGAGGAACAUGUGGUUUAAUUCGAUGAUACGCGAGGAACCUUACCCGGGCUUAAAUGUAGGCUGCAUGAGGUGGAAACACCCUUCCCUUCGGGGCUGCCUACAAGGUGCUGCAUGGUUGUCGUCAGCUCGUGCCGUGAGGUGUCGGGUUAAGUCCCAUAACGAGCGCAACCCCUAUCGUUAGUUGCCAUCGGGUGAAGCCGGGAACUCUAGCGAGACUGCCACCGUAAGGUGAGAGGAAGGUGGGGAUGACGUCAAAUCAGCACGGCCCUUAUGUCCGGGGCUACACACGUGUUACAAUGGACGGUACAGAGGGCCGCUACCCCGCGAGGGGAUGCCAAUCUCGAAAGCCGUUCUCAGUUCGGAUCGCAGUCUGAAACCCGACUGCGUGAAGUUGGAUUCGCUAGUAGUCGCGCAUCAGCCAUGGCGCGGUGAAUACGUUCCCGGGCCUUGUACACACCGCCCGUCAAACCAUGGAAGUUGGGGGGACCUGAAGUCUGUACCGCAAGAGC
This 1374-nucleotide ribosomal RNA is filed under the name uncultured bacterium. RNAcentral's name for it is "bacterial SSU rRNA". It matches the Rfam family "Bacterial small subunit ribosomal RNA". The record is from RNAcentral.